GGUGAGUAAUGUCUGGGAAACUGCCUGAUGGAGGGGGAUAACUACUGGAAACGGUAGCUAAUACCGCAUAACGUCGCAAGACCAAAGAGGGGGACCUUCGGGCCUCUUGCCAUCGGAUGUGCCCAGAUGGGAUUAGCUUGUUGGUGGGGUAACGGCUCACCAAGGCGACGAUCCCUAGCUGGUCUGAGAGGAUGACCAGCCACACUGGAACUGAGACACGGUCCAGACUCCUACGGGAGGCAGCAGUGGGGAAUAUUGCACAAUGGGCGCAAGCCUGAUGCAGCCAUGCCGCGUGUAUGAAGAAGGCCUUCGGGUUGUAAAGUACUUUCAGCGGGGAGGAA
Molecule: ribosomal RNA, 341 nt
Filed under: Escherichia coli
Lineage: Bacteria; Pseudomonadati; Pseudomonadota; Gammaproteobacteria; Enterobacterales; Enterobacteriaceae
Description: bacterial SSU rRNA
Rfam family: Bacterial small subunit ribosomal RNA
Source: RNAcentral